Molecule: ribosomal RNA, 489 nt
Filed under: uncultured bacterium
Lineage: Bacteria
Description: bacterial SSU rRNA
Rfam family: Bacterial small subunit ribosomal RNA
Source: RNAcentral
AUUGAACGCUGGCGGCAGGCUUAACACAUGCAAGUCGAACGGUAACAUAAAGAAGCUUGCUUCUUUGAUGACGAGUGGCGGACGGGUGAGUAAUGCUUGGGAAUCUAGCUUAUGGAGGGGGAUAACUACGGGAAACUGUAGCUAAUACCGCGUAGAAUCGGGAGAUGAAAGUGUGGGACCUUCGGGCCACAUGCCAUAGGAUGAGCCCAAGUGGGAUUAGGUAGUUGGUGAGGUAAAGGCUCACCAAGCCGACGAUCUCUAGCUGGUCUGAGAGGAUGACCAGCACACUGGGACUGAGACACGGCCCAGACCCCUACGGGAGGCAGCAGUGGGGAAUAUUGCGCGAUGGGGGCAACCCUGACGCAGCCAUGCCGCGUGAAUGAAGAAGGCCUUCGGGUUGUAAAGUUCUUUCGGUAGCGAGGAAGGCAUUUAGUUUAAUAAACUGGAUGAUUGACGUUAACUACAGAAGAAGCACCGGCUAACUCCGUG